RNAcentral lists this ribosomal RNA (253 nucleotides) under uncultured bacterium. RNAcentral's name for it is "partial 16S ribosomal RNA". It matches the Rfam family "Bacterial small subunit ribosomal RNA", at positions 524 to 776 of the family's 1533-position model. The record is from RNAcentral.
UACGUAGGGUGCAAGCGUUAAUCGGAAUUACUGGGCGUAAAGCAUGCGCAGGCGGUUAUGUAAGACAGAUGUGAAAUGCCCGGGCUUAACCUGGGAACUGCAUUUGUGACUGCAUGGCUAGAGUUUGGCAGAGGGGGGUAGAAUUCCACGUGUAGCAGUGAAAUGCGUAGAUAUGUGGAGGAACACCGAUGGCGAAGGCAGCCCCCUGGGUCAAGACUGACGCUCAUGCACGAAAGCGUGGGGAGCAAACAGG